Molecule: non-coding RNA, 197 nt
Organism: Danio rerio (zebrafish)
Lineage: Eukaryota; Metazoa; Chordata; Actinopteri; Cypriniformes; Danionidae
Source: RefSeq, a predicted model, not a curated record
CCAUCACAGGCUGAUGUCCAGCCCAGUUUAGCAGUGUGUAGUGCUUCUACACCAAGCACGGCUACACAGGACCUUCAAGUUUCUGCCCCCGUCCUCACAUCCACUACGGCAGUGACCAGUUCCACAGAGCCGUCCGGCAUUGUCUCAACUGCACCUUCUGGGUCAUUGUUGCAAGCUCCAUCAGCUGUUCCACUUCC